RNAcentral lists this ribosomal RNA (340 nucleotides) under Scymnus hoffmanni. RNAcentral's name for it is "partial 16S ribosomal RNA". Lineage: Eukaryota; Metazoa; Arthropoda; Insecta; Coleoptera; Coccinellidae. The record is from RNAcentral.
GAGGGCGUGCACUGAUUUUUAGGGCGCAGUAUCUUAACUGUGCAAAGGUAGCAUAAUCAUUAGUUUUUUAAUUGAAAGCUGGAAUGAAUGGUUUGAUGAAAAAAUUUCUGUUUCAAUAUUAAUUUUUUAAAACUUUAUUUUUAAGUUAAAAAGCUUAAAUUUAUAUAAAAGACGAGAAGACCCUAUAGAGUUUAAUUGAUUAAUAAAUAUUUAAAUUUAGUAUUAAUUUUUAUAUAUUUAUUUGUUAAUUUAAUUGGGGUGAUUAAAAAAUUUAAUAAACUUUUUUUAAAUUUUUACAUUAAUAUAUGAAUAUAUGAUCCAUAGAAAUGAUUAAAAGAAU